Balaenoptera acutorostrata (minke whale) is the source of this 4014-nucleotide long non-coding RNA. RefSeq lists it as uncharacterized. NCBI's taxonomy places the organism in Eukaryota, Metazoa, Chordata, Mammalia, Artiodactyla, Balaenopteridae. The transcript has 5 exons. The record is from RefSeq and is a predicted model, not a curated record.
CCAAGAGGCGCCCGGGUCUCCACUUGACCCGGCGUGGAAUAGUGGGUUUCAGAUCUGUGAAUGUCUAAGAAGUGCGGGACACGUUUCUGAUCUUGCGGGGUCUCUUUCUUUCCCUUUUUAGACAAACAUUUCUUCGUGUGCUGUUUAUAGAACACCUAUCGAGGCCCAGCUCCAGUGCUUGCGGACGCAUGACAAUGGGAAACAGCCCCUACUUUAGAGGGUCUCCCAGACAGUCGGGUGCAGAAGGAAACAGAGGAGGAGACACCAGGGAUAUGCAUGUACACAGAAAAGGUCAUGUGAGGACACAGCAAGAAUGUGACCAUUUCCAAGCCAAGGAGAGAGACUACAGGAUAAACCAAACCUGCUGAUACCUUGUUCUGGGACUUCCAGCCUCCAGAACUGUGAGAAACUCAAGGAAUAAUUGCUUCACAGCGACUUAUGAUUCUAUCUGACCAGGUGUUUUAAAACUUUUUGAGAUUUUUGACAGACUUCCCAAAUAUCAAAUUCCAAUUGAAAUUCUUUUGACUUCCAGUUAAAUUUGGGGUGCUUCAAGGGGCCCCUGGAAUAUCCCAAAGAGAGAUCCUAACCUAAUUGGGUUCAUUUGGUAUGUUAAAUUAUAUGGGAAACAUUGUCCAAACUCACUGUUGCCUGUGUGAGAUGGAAUCAUCAGGCUCUCCCCAAUUUUAUCACAGCCACCAAAAAGAUAAGGGAAAGGGUUUUGGGUUCUUCUUCUGUCUAGUUUCUCAACUUGCUCUAUGUCCAAAAAAUCCCCUGUGGGAAUACUCCCACCUCUAGGCCCUCAGGUCCUGACCCCCGUGGCAUUUUCCAUUGCAGCCAACUCCAAUUCCUCCAGGAGUUCCUUUUUGCACCUCUAGGACCCUCUUCACUCCAGGCCUUGGCAGCCUAUACCUUGUUACAGACUACCUAUUGGGCUGGCCACUUCCAAGCAGCCCAUAUCCAAGCAGCACACAUCCUAGGCUUUGUAGAUGUUCAGUCUCGAGGAAUACACCCCAACACAGGGAAAACUGUUACAGGACACAAGCUUUAUAGACAACAGAUCCCCCUCAAGGAGAGCCCUGGCAAUGCACUAGCACUGGUUCAAAUGCCCCCUAUCAGGGACCCCUUGCACGAGGGCCUGAUGACAAGAGACAUCUGAUUCAGCAGUGGGAGAGUAGAGGAUGCUCAAAAAUCCCAUUAGGUAAGAAGGGAAUUCGGAGGACACUUUGACCCCCUUCCAACAAAAGCCUCCUGGUAAAACGUCUCUGAGAUGCCAGACUUCACUUCUAGGAGCGCUCUUGGUUGCAGGUUACUCAACACGGGAGGAACCUCUUCUAAGCCAGGAGAAACACCUCUGGAAUGUAUCCUUAAAAAUUGAAAUUUUAAAAAUAGAUGGGCUGAAAAGGGAAAAACUUAAACUCUACUGUCACACUGCCUGGCCUGUAUAUAAGUUGGGGGAUGGAGAAGAAUGGCCUGAAAAUGGGCCUCUAAAUUACAAUACCAUCUUGCAAUUGGAUCUUUACUGUCACAGAUGGGAAAAUGGACUGAGGCUCAUUAUGUCUAAGCCUUCAUGGUCCUUUACCAAAACCCAGCUCUAAGCAGCUCCUGUAAUCAAAAGCCUGGGGAAUCAGAAAGCACUCUUGACAUUUUAGAUGAUCUCCUUCUAACCUUCCCCAGUUCUCAGGGGGGCAAACCAAGUUUCCCCUGCUUCUCUAGAGCUACCUGCUUCUCCAGAGCCUCCUACUUCCCCAGAGGCACCUACUUCUCCAGAUCCCUCUGACGGCUCCCAAACUCCGCCUCCCUGUGUCCCUUUAUACCCUCUGUUACCCCAGGGAGGAGAGACUAGUCCCACCAGGGUAACUUGUAAUGGAACAUCCUAUCACCCAGGAUCGGGAAAAUUAUGCCCUCUUAGGGAAGUGGCAAAUGGUGAUGAGACAAUCGGAGUACAUGUGCCCUUCUCUUUAACUGACUUAGCCCAAUGCAAAAAGAGAGUGGGCAGGUUUUCUGAAGACCCCAGUAAGUUUGUUGAAGGGUUUGAGGCCCUAACUCUGGCCUUUGAUUUAACUUGGAAGGAUGUCCAAAUAGUCCUAUCUACUUGCUGUACCCCUGAGGAAAAACAGAGAAUUUGGGCAGCAGCCCAGGGGCACGGUGACCAGCUUGCCAGGGACCAAUCCGAACAUUUUGUUAUGGGUGGAGAUGCAGUCCCAAAUCAGAAGCCCUGUUGGAAUUAUAAUUCCUGAGAGGGAACAGAAGUCAGGAAGCACAUGAUCCAAUGUGUAUUAGAAGGGAUGAGAAAGUGUAUCAGAAAGCCAGUUAACUAUGAAAAGCUUAAAGGAGUGACCCAAGAAGAAAAAGAAAAUCCAACCCUCUUUCAGGGGCAGCUUGUGAAGGCUUUUAGAAAAUUUACUAACAUUGAUCCAUCCACUCGCAAGGAUCAAUCCUUGCUGGGACAACAUUUUAUCAGCCAGUCCACCCUUGAUAUUAGGCGGAAACUCCAAAAGUUACAAUUAGGCUUCCAAACCCCAAUGCACCAACUCCUAGAGGACCUUUGGGGUAUUUAAUAAUCGAGAUCAAGCUGAGGAAGAAGAGAGAACCCGACGUAAAAACAGGAAGGCCAGCGCUCAAGCUAAACUGAUGGCCAUAGCUGUCAGCCAUGUCUUGCAACCUCAGGACGACCCAAGGGGGCCAAGGAAGUUUAACCAUCCGCCUGGAGGUAAAACAGCAAGGGGGAAUGCUUCACAUGUAAGUCAACCGGCCACUGGGCCCAAAAGUGCCAAAAGGAACCCCCUGGUCCAUGCCCAGUCUGCAAACAAAAAGGUCAUUGAAAGUGGGAUUGUCCUCAGUCCUGAAGAGGAAGGGGGGCUCCCACUCCCGAGACAGCAUGCUGGACGACUGAGGCAGCCCAGGGAUUCUGACGGCUCCCCACAACGAGAUGUCUAUCUCCAUCGAGGAGCCCCGGGUGGUCCUUGAGAAAGGUGGCAGACUCCAACAGUUUGAAGUAAGGCUCAUGAUGGCUCAAGGAGUUCAACCCAGGUCCCUACAGGUCCUUGGAACAGUCAGCAAGGGACUUCUACACCUCCAGGGUACGCUAGGAUCUGUGGCCCCUGUCCAGCAGGAAGAAGUUUCAGAAGAGACCUUCAGCCUUUACCCCUUAAGACUUACAUGCUUUAAUGAAGCCAAGCUUCCAUGUCAGUGAGCCCCACGUGGCAGAGAACUAAGGGAGGCCUCCAGCCAAAAGCCAGUGAGGAACUAAAUCCAGCCAACAACCAUGUGAGUCAGCCUGGAAGCAAAUCAUUUCCCUCUUGAGGCUUGUGAUGACCGUAGCCCCAUUCGAUACAUUGACUGCAGCCUGUGAAGCAGAGGACUCAGUUAAGCCAGCCCAGACUCCUGACCCACAGAAACUAUGAGACAAUAAAUAAGAAAGAGACUGGGACACAAAAAAAAAAAAAAAGAAAGAAAGAGACUGGGGAAGGAGCAUAAGCACCCUUGAUUCUGGGCAGCUUCUGAGAAGGGCAGCUGAGGACCUAUAUCACCUUAAGCCCGUGAAAUUUGGGUUAUAGAUGUCUUAAAGGACGAGCAGAGUUCUGACAGGCAAAGAAAAGGAAACAGACAUUCUAAACUGAGAGAACAGCACAAGGAAAAAUUCAGAGCUCUGAACAUAAAUCAUUUCUUUAGGGGAAGGCAAGUUGUCUUGUGUGACAGGACAGGAGUACAAACUAGUUAAUACUUCCUACUCUGAUUCUGAUUUAGUCCCUAGAGCAAUGAUUCUCAAACUUUUUGUGUCAGUUUCCCUUUACACUCAAAAAUUAUUGGUGACCUUGGGGACUUCCCCAGCAGUCCAGUGGUUAAGACUCCAGCUUCCACUGCAGGGGGUGCGAGUUCGAUCCCUGGUCGGGGAACUAAGAUCCUGCAUGCCGCACGGCGCGGCUAAAAAAAAAAAAAAAAUUAUUGGUGACCUCAAAGAACUUUUGUCUAUGUGGAUGACAUCUUUUGAAUAUUUACUGUAUUAGAAAUUUA